CUGUUCUUUCGAUUCUUUCUCCAAAACCCGAAAUCUUCUGCUGAAGCUCGAUCUGUUGAAUCGAGAGAGAUUAUAUGAGUUCUCUACUCUCUGUCGUUCGUCUUCCUCCGCCGCAGAGAUCCGUGACGUCUUCGAUCUCUACGAUCAGGACAAAAAAAACGGACUGAUCUGAUCUGAUCUCCUGAGCUUCACCAGGUUCUUAAUCACCUUGGGAUGUCUUGCUCUGUCGAUGACUGCACUCGUAUGAUCGGACCUGUGGAUGCUGACGGCGAUGGGAACGUCAAUUUCGAAGAGUUUCAGAAGAUGAUGACCUCGUGCUCCCUCAUCAACAUCGGAUCUUCUAAUCGAGGUUCUGCUUAGGUCAUCCAUCAUCCUAUGGUUGUGGUGGCAUGCCAUUGUGAUGGCACGAGAUGGAAAUUCUGGGGAGACAACAAUCUGAGGAGCAAAUUCUGGGGUUUACAUGAGAGUAUUCAGCUUGAUCAUGUUGUUGUAUUGACUUUGCAAUUUGACGAUGGAGAAACCCUUCAGUGGAGUAAGGUGACUGCAUCAAUAUACAGUCUCAUGCUUGGUAAAUUGUAAUGUGAUAAUCAGGUUCAUGCCUUCAUGGUAUAGUUCAAGACAAGAGUGGGAAGACAGUUGCAACUAUGUUUGGUAAAUGGGAUGAGAACAUGCACUUUGUGACGGGUGAUUGUUCUGGGAAGGAGAAACUGAGUGAAGCUAUGUCAGGAGCUCAACUUCUCUGGAAACCAAGCAAACCUCCUGGAAACGCAACAAAGUAUAAUCUGACACGUUUCACAAUUACGUUAAAUGAGCUUCCACCUGGGCUGAAGGAGACGCUGCCACCAACGGAUUCAAGACUGAGACCAGACAAGAGGUAUCUGGAGAAUGGAGAGUUUGAAAUGGCCAACACAGAGAAGUUGCGGCUGGAACAGCAACAACGUCGGGUAAUACAAGUUGCACUACCACUGCAAAAGUUCCUUUAAUCUUGGUUUUGCUCCUCUGUUUCGGUUUUUCAGAAAUAUAUAUAUACUGAUCUUGAAUGAGUUAAAUGAGUUUAUCAGUAUCAUACACACAAAUGGCUUUUUUUUUGUAAUAAAUUAAGCACACCCAUUAUAUACAAUAAUCUAUUUACAUACAAUUAUAUAAAAUUUUAAUAUAACACACCUACACCAUUUGUGAUCAA
Molecule: long non-coding RNA, 1183 nt
Organism: Camelina sativa (false flax)
Lineage: Eukaryota; Viridiplantae; Streptophyta; Magnoliopsida; Brassicales; Brassicaceae
Source: RefSeq, a predicted model, not a curated record